RNAcentral lists this non-coding RNA (30 nucleotides) under Mus musculus (house mouse). The record is from RNAcentral. Lineage: Eukaryota; Metazoa; Chordata; Mammalia; Rodentia; Muridae.
UGGCCUCAUCCACAUGUUACUAAUGCCUGA